GUUUGUCACAUUUGCAGAGUAAACUGGAUGCCGUUUUUGCUUAGAGUCGAUUAAUUUUUACGCUUUUACAAACAGUAUUUUGACAGCCCAUAAUAUGAGUAGAAACACGAGGAGUGCAGAAUGAACCACAAACACUGGCCUUAUUCUGUCACGAUGGACCUUCAGACAACUUCAGAAAAGGGCCAAAGGAUUCUGAUUUUCCAGGCUUUUUUCACAUGCCUUUUCCUGAGUUCUUCUGAGGAUAUCUUUGGGAUGCAACGUCGAUCAAGCCAAGGUUUUCUCUAUACGCUAUGGAUAGUGCAUGCUCGAAUGGCCAACUGAAAAUGGCACCAAGAUUCCUGAAUGGCUGCAGCACUAGAUCAACUGUAUAAUGUGCGAGUGAGUUUGGUCAUUUGUACAAGCUGAACAAAGAUCUUGGCACAACGGCCAGUUGUUAAUGACUGGAUGCCGGUCUCAAGGGAAGACUCGGCUCUGCGGGCGGACUUGGUGGAAAACAUCCUCGGGACCGUGGGCCAGCGAACCUCAAAGAGACAGCUAACACGGCCUGAAGUACAUCUACAGAGCCAGGAACACAACGCUGGUCAUGUCUGAGAGAUCUGCUCUCACCCCAGGAUCUAAUUACUUACUUCUAUCUCCCCCAUCAUCUAGCGCUUCCUCCGGGAGAAACCCCAUGGGUCUCUUCAGCCCGGCCCCUCGCAUAACACACUGACAUGGGGAAACAUCUCACCCGCUGUCCAUGACAACAGCUGUUAUCCAUAGGACAGCAUCUUAUUAAUUCAGAGAUAUGAUAACAGAUAUUUUGUUUGAAGUGAAAAUAACAUCAGAAAAAUAAAGUCUAACUUACUUUAAGCCAUGUUUGCCACAAAUGCAGUUUGCAUAGAAAUGUAAAUAACACAUCAAGUAAAAUGUAAGCACCCAAAGAUGUGUAUG
Molecule: long non-coding RNA, 930 nt
Organism: Misgurnus anguillicaudatus (oriental weatherfish)
Lineage: Eukaryota; Metazoa; Chordata; Actinopteri; Cypriniformes; Cobitidae
Source: RefSeq, a predicted model, not a curated record